GGGGAGGCCGGAUCCUGGGCUGUGUCCCCGCGCCCUGUACCCCGGUCUGCGCUGUUGGAUUCACGCUCCCGCCCCGCAGCCCCCU
RNAcentral lists this microRNA precursor (85 nucleotides) under Canis lupus familiaris (dog). Its description in RNAcentral is "mir-8799 microRNA precursor family". It matches the Rfam family "mir-8799 microRNA precursor family". The record is from Rfam by way of RNAcentral. Lineage: Eukaryota; Metazoa; Chordata; Mammalia; Carnivora; Canidae.